GACGAACGCUGGCGGCGUGCUUAACACAUGCAAGUCGAACGGAAAGGCCCUGCUUUUGUGGGGUGCUCGAGUGGCGAACGGGUGAGUCACACGUGAGUAACCUGCCCUUGACUUUGGGAUAACUUCAGGAAACUGGGGCUAAUACCGGAUAGGAGCUCCUGCUGCAUGGUGGGGGUUGGAAAGUUUCGGCGGUUGGGGAUGGACUCGCGGCUUAUCAGCUUGUUGGUGGGGUAGUGGCUUACCAAGGCUUUGACGGGUAGCCGGCCUGAGAGGGUGACCGGCCACAUGGGGACUGAGAUACGGCCCAGACUCCUACGGGAGGCAGCAGUGGGGAAUAUUGCACAAUGGGCGGAAGCCUGAUGCAGCAACGCCGCGUGCGGGAUGACGGCCUUCGGGGUGUAAACCGCUUUCGCCUGUGACGAAGCGUGAGUGACGGUAAUGUGUAAAGAAGCACCGGCUAACUACGUG
This 468-nucleotide ribosomal RNA is filed under the name uncultured bacterium. RNAcentral's name for it is "partial 16S ribosomal RNA". It matches the Rfam family "Bacterial small subunit ribosomal RNA", at positions 28 to 507 of the family's 1533-position model. The record is from RNAcentral.